AUUGAACGCUGGCGGCAUGCCUAACACAUGCAAGUCGAACGGUAACAGGCCCUUCGGGGUGCUGACGAGUGGCGGAUGGGUGAGUAAUACUUAGGAAUCUACCCUGUAGUGGGGGACGAACCCGGGGAAACGUCGGGCUAAUACCGCAUACGCUCUACGGAGGAAAGCGGGGGACCGGCAAGGCCUCGCGCUAUUGGAUGAGCCUAAGCCCGAUUAGCUAGUUGGUGGGGUAAUAGCCUACCAAGGCAAUGAUCGGUAGCUGGUCUGAGAGGACGACCAGCCACACUGGGACUGAGACACGGCCCAGACUCCUACGGGAGGCAGCAGUGGGGAAUAUUGGACAAUGGGCGAAAGCCUGAUCCAGCGAUGCCGCGUGUGU
Molecule: ribosomal RNA, 379 nt
Filed under: uncultured bacterium
Lineage: Bacteria
Description: bacterial SSU rRNA
Rfam family: Bacterial small subunit ribosomal RNA
Source: RNAcentral